RNAcentral lists this long non-coding RNA (3795 nucleotides) under Mizuhopecten yessoensis (Yesso scallop). RNAcentral's name for it is "uncharacterized LOC110456392, transcript variant X1". Lineage: Eukaryota; Metazoa; Mollusca; Bivalvia; Pectinida; Pectinidae. The record is from RNAcentral.
UCCUGUGUAGUUUUAUAAAGGUGUGUUAAACAUUUUUAGUACUGUAAGUGUCUGUGGUGUUACAUAUGAUACUGUUCUCAACGCUAUAACGAGUUAAUAAAAAUCAAAAUGGACAACAUUUUGACAAAGAUAGGAGAGUUCGGAUUGUACCAGACACGUGUGUAUACCUUGAUUUGUUGGAGCACCCUGUUUGCUAGACUGUAUGAAAUGAAGUCAGUGAUAUGACUUUAUUAACCUGAUAACAGAAUGAUACAUACAUGUACACUGUACAAAGUAUCUAUCACCAGGACCUUGUCAACAACUACAUAUCACCUUCAUCGAUGGAUACCAUCCAUAGCUAUAACCAGUGCUACCUGUACUCGUUUGAUAAGGAUGAUAUCAAGUUCGAUAGUAGGCUGUAUUAAUGUAUGUCUGUCUCAACGUAUCCUGUCUCAAUGUAUGUCUGUCUGUCUCAACGUAUCCUGUCUCAAUGUAUGUAUGUCUGUCUGUCGGUCUCUCGCAGUGUAUAUAUGUAUAGGUGUAUGAGUAUAUAUGUAGAUGCUUUUUAUUUUGUAUUAGGUUAUUGUGUAUACUAGUACUCUAGAGUUUAUUUACAUAGCUUAUCCUUGUUUGUAAUAUUAUGCCAGUACUAUACUGUAUUCGUCGUACACUAUUUCCUCCUUCUUCAAUGGUCUUACAUGAAUUCAGAGCCUCGCAAAAUUAAAACAUUCUCAACGAGUUUCAUAAAUCUCAUAUCAAAUGGAAACUCAUGUGAAAUUUUAUUUAUCACAUGCCGUAAUAAAAUGAAAAAACAUCAAUUUAAAAUCAUUUGUUUUAAUUCCUUCUUUAUCAAUCGUAACCAAAUCACAGCUAUAAGAAUAUCAUUCCACAGAAUGCGAUGAGACAUAUAUAUAUAUGUUUCCCAAAUCUGUACAUAAUUUGACAGUAGCAUCAACUCAUUUUAUUAUUUAAGUUUUCAGCUUUAGUCUAACAUUACAAACUUACACCGAAAACUCGUAAUGCAAGUGAGACAAUGUUUCUAACGAUUUAAAAAAUGACUUCGCCAGACUGUCAGAAAGCCGCGUCAUAGCAGAAAGCCGCGUUUUAGCGCGCACAAGUACAAAAUCUAGGUGACACAUGUUUACCAGCCGGACUAGUCACUAUUCUUCUUGGUUUAAAGGCUCUUGGAUGACUGGCGUUGUCCUCGUUUGGAACCACAUUCAUGUGGAAGUGUCCUCCAAUCACUUUACUAGCAAACAUUGUUUGAAGUCCUCUGAGACUACGUGGCUGUCUUUUGAACCGCGUAUAUAUAUGCACAACCAUCAUUUUGUGUGAUCUAUAAAUGCUCUAUAUUAUUGUGUCAUCAUUGACAAUUGAUAUUUCCGUUGAUUUGGGAUGGACACAUCUACUAUAUGUAAUCGAAAAGUAAUAAUAAGGGAUCAUUCUCUCGCUACAACUGUAGUACAGAAAAGAACUCUGAUAAGUCUUUUUCACUUUUAAAGUUUCAUAUUAUAUCAAUACAACCUUGACGUAAUUUGAAAAUGAAACAAUAUACACAAGUGGUAAAUGUAAGAACUUGAAAUGGACAGGAAACACUUUAAACCUCUGGGCAUCAAAACGCCACACCAUUAAAGAGAAACAUUAUGACGAAACUGUCAUUUCAUUUCAUAUUCCUUCUACUGUGGAUCUGACCAGCGGUGCAUUUCACAACAAGUCAGUGACAGUUUAUCAACCAACAAAACAAACGAUAUUCAUUUUUAUAACCAAAAGUUAAAACCCUGUGAAUCAGAUAAACCAGAAUAGUUUACAGCAGCAAGUGUCUGAUUCAUUCAUGAAAAGGAUUUUUCUAUAGCUAUUUUCAACUGCCGCUAAAAGAAAGAACCAAAUUAAAUACUCACCGAUUUUGUUUAAAUACAUAGCAUGUAUCUACAAACUCAAUACAGCUAAGUACCCUGUUUGACAAGAAACAAGUUCAGAUAUGUUAAUCAUAGUUUAUUCAAAAUCACACUCAUCCUACCGAAACACGAUUUAUCAUUUUCGUUCGGGACUGUGAUAUAUCUGUUAGUACAUAGUGAAAUAUUGUAAAUAGAUAUUUAAAAGGUACAUAAGAUUAAUAACUUUUGAUAUGUUUCUUUUAGAUGAAAAGUGUUGGAGAGUAUCUCAAUGCUGUUACAUUACAUUGUUGUACACACAAUAUUUGCAUCAUUGUGUUGCUUAUAGCGUGAAAUUUUUGGAUAAAUUAACAGGCACGUGCCCAAAUGGUCUAUAAUUGAUUUUACAGAUGGCAGCAUAUGUUUGGUGGUGAAAAUCAACAUCGAGAGAUUACCAAUACGUUAAUUUGAUCUUGUUAUCGAUGACACUAGUUCAGUGUUUGCUAUCUAGGUAGUACGAAAAAGCCCACUCAACCAUACUAUUGUGAUAAUAACCGCUCUACCACACGCUAUCCUAGAGUCUUUUGGAAUUAAAGUUUAAGCAUUUAACAAAUCCUUUUUACUGCAAUUUAAUUGUGUGAAACACAAUAUUGAAUUGAUCUUAAUAAGACACGGAAUGGGUAGUAGACAAAUCGUGCUCUCGAUGCUUAAAAAGACCAUUUUGCGUUUCAGUGACAGCAAUGAAACAAUAUAUUGAUUUGGAUAUAAAAUGACUUGUUGGUGAAAACAAUCCAAUCAAUUUUUAGCGUACUUGUGUCAAUAAAAGUAUUUAUAAAUGCAUUCGACAGACGUUGUUUUUGUUGCACCAACACAGAUUGAAAACCAUAUCCAAAUAACUGAUAUACACGUAAAUCUAAUGUCAUGCCACACAUCCAAAAGAAUCAAUACAAACUUCAAUGAAUAGGUACUGAGUAUCACAGGAGUGUGUGUUUUUUUUGUUUUGUUUUUUGUUGGUUUUGCUCCUUUUGCAGAUAAAAUAUGGAUCCUUAGGAUAUUUUUAUUUCCAACCUGAAGUGGAUUACAAUGGACUUGUAAGGGAAACAUACAGUGAAUUAUGGAUGCCUACAAGACGCUACGAAAUAAAACUUCGCUAGGGAGGAAAGUUGUGUAUUUAGUUGUAUGGAUCCUUGGGAGAAUUUCUGUAUUUCCAACCUAAACUGGAUCACAAUGGGCUGGCAAGAUGGCAGUCCCCUAUAUAUUGAUUGCGAUUACAGUUGAACAUUUGGUGUCAGAAUUGUCUCGUGUAGCUACAUUCCGACAUGUAUCGUCCAGAUUCUGGGUACUGGACUUGGCCAGAUGGUACUUCGUGGACAACGAUGGGAUGACCUUCGAGUGCAUUUUAUGUGGUAAAAUGCACGCAUAUAGAGAAGGCAGAUUCUCUGAAGGGGAACUGAUGUCCAUUCAUCAUAGGUAUUGUCAAGUGCGAAUCUUUGGAGUGCGAAACCGGUACUAAUUAAUUAGCUGGCAGAUGGAUCUUCACGCCGCCAUCUGAUCCAAUUUUUUCCAUAUGUGUUUUCAUUCUUCAACAUGUGACAGUCAAGCAAGUUAAAUAAUUUUGGAAAACCUGCACCAAUUAAACAAAGAACCUGUACAUUAGACAGAACUGAUUCACGAAGAAAUGUGUCAGCACUUGCAACAAUGAUAAUAUGUUUUACUAUAAACUGAAAACAGUUUGUACUUAGGUUCAUUUGGGACAUAUUGUUUCAAUGAUGGAUUGAUAUGAUCAAAAAAGGAAAAUAAUACUGGUUUAAUCCUGUUUAGUGGAAGUAAGCGUGGGUGUUAUCAAUAACUCUGAAAAGACACAAACAGUUUUAAUACUGUCUCUGAAACUGAUACAAUAAAAUAAUUUUAGAAUAUAUCUUCCAUCAAGUUCAUUUUGAUUCAA